AUUAGAUGAAUGCAUCCCUUAGUGCAGUUUCAGUCUUAGAGAUUACCUGUAAACUGGUAGCUACACCUGGAGGCUUGAUCAGAUUGAGGCUUCUUCCUUUUUUUAGUAGUUGACAUUUCAUAGAACUUACAUAAAAAUCCUAAUUUUUUGCUUCCUUGAAUAUGUUGCCGAUCUGGCAUUCCCACCUGCAAUGAUUAUCCCAAGGCUGGACAGUGAGCACCCCCACUCCCCAUUUCCCACUGCUAGUUGGGUGGGAUGGGAAUUCUGUAGGGCCCAGUUCACACCACUUAGGUUAUCUGCCAGGCUCCCACAGGCAGCCACAUUAGUUGACACCCCAGUUCUAAACAAUGCCUCUUCAGAGGCUGUGGUGGACGUCAACAGGACCUCACACACAAGAGGCCUUUCAGGAAUGUGGCGGAGAUGAGAGAAAAUGAUAUGGAAGAGACUUCCUUAAAAUGCUUAAAGGGAAAGGGAUAAGCAGCCACAGGAGGGGAGUCCUCCUGAUAGAAUUUGGUGAGAGCCCCGGAUGGGGAAAAGAAAACCAUCAAUUAACAGAGCUGUAAGCACAGGAGGUAGGAGUUAUGAAUUCCUAAUCUGGGUGGGAAACAAAGAAAGCAAGUGGGCUUAAGAGACAAUGCUUUGGUCUUUUUAUAUGAUAUUAUGAGGAUCCUAAAGCCCCAUAGAAAGAGGAGGCGGCCAUCAAUGUAGAACUGUCCAGUAGUGUUAGUCAGAAAGCAAAAGCAGGCAGUACCAGGAAAACAGAAAUUGCAUAGGCAGUAAAUGACAUG
RNAcentral lists this long non-coding RNA (788 nucleotides) under Marmota monax (woodchuck). Lineage: Eukaryota; Metazoa; Chordata; Mammalia; Rodentia; Sciuridae. The record is from RNAcentral.